GGAGAGAUGUCCGAGGGGUUGAAGGAGCACGCUUGGAAAGCGUGUGUAGGGGUAAUCCUCCUACCGUGGGUUCGAAUCCCACUCUCUCCGCCA
This 93-nucleotide transfer RNA is filed under the name Gammaproteobacteria bacterium. Its description in RNAcentral is "tRNA-Ser". It matches the Rfam family "tRNA". From Rfam's summary of the family: Transfer RNA (tRNA) molecules are approximately 80 nucleotides in length. Their secondary structure includes four short double-helical elements and three loops (D, anti-codon, and T loops). The record is from RNAcentral. RNAcentral also lists the same sequence under 1 other name. Lineage: Bacteria; Pseudomonadati; Pseudomonadota; Gammaproteobacteria.